AGUUUGAUUAUGGCUCAGAUUGAACGCUGGCGAAAUUAACUGCAUGCAAGUCGAACGGCAGCACGGACUUCGGUCUGGUGGCGAGUGGCAGACGCAGAUGAAGUAAUGUAUCCAGGACAGUACCACAGCAUGGGGGAUAACUCACGCGAAAGCGUAGCUAAUACCGCAUGCGCCCUUCAAGGAAAGCAGAGACCUUCGGGCCUCGCACCUAUUAAAUAACGCCGAUAUCAGUUAACCGGAUCAGCAGGUGGGGUAACAGCGCAAAAGCGACAUAUCUCGAUCUAAAGUAGCUGGUUUGAGAGGACAACCAACCACUCUGGGACUGAGACACAGCAGACUCUACGAGGCAGCCAGUCGGGAAUUUUGGACAAUGAGCGCCUCCUGAUCAACCAUCCCGCGCGUGUGCGAUGAAGGCCUUCGAGGUUGUAAAGCACUUUUGGCGGAAAAAGAAAAGCAGCGCAGGAUAAGCUGCAACUGACAGUACCUGCAGAAUAAGCACCAGCUAACUACGUGCCAGCAGCCGCGGUAAUACGUAGGGUGCAAGCGUUAAUGGAAUUACUGGGCAUAAAGCGUGCGCAGGCGGUUCCCGAGAAGAAAGAUGUGAAAUCCCAGAGCUUAACUUUGGAACUGCAUUUAACUACCGAAAUGAAGUGUCAGAGGGAAGUGGAAUUCCGCGUGUAGCAGUGAAGUAAAUGGAAAUAUGCGAAGGAACACGAUAAUAAAGAGCGACUAUCUAUAAAGAUAACACUGACGCUCAUGCCGAAAGCGUGGGAGCAAACGGGAUUAGAUACCCUGGUAGUCCACCAUCCAAACGAUGUCAACUAGCUGUUGGGGCCUUCAGACGCCCGGUAGCGCAGCCCAACGCGUAGAGAUUGACCGCCUGGGAAGUACGGUCGCAAGAUUAAAGCUCAAAAGGAAUUGACGGGGACCCGCUACAGCGGUGGAUGAUGGAUUAAUUCGAUGCAACGAAAAACCUUACCUACCCUUGACAUGUCUGGAAUCCCGAAAGAGAUCUGGGAGUGUCGCAAGAGGAGCAAGACACAGGUGCUACAUAGCUGUCGUCAGCUCGUGUCGUGAGAUGUUGGGUUGGUCCACAUAGUGGCGCAACAUCAUGUCAUUGGAUUCGCUUACCAAAGGGCAUCUAAUGGAGCUAUAAGUCAGCAAAUCCAGAGGAAGGUGGGGAUGACGUCAAUCGCAGCUCAUAGGUAGGGCUUCACACGUCAUGCAAUGGUCAGGCCAGAGGGUCGCCAACCGCGAGGCGUAAUCCAGAAACCCGAUCGUAGUCCGGAUCGCAGUCUGUAGCAUGUUCGUCAGAGUGGAAUCGCUAGUAAUCAUGAAUCAGCAUGUCGCCGGUGAAUACGUUCCAGGUCUUGUACACCGCCCGUCACACCGUAGGGUGGGUUUUUACCAGAAGUAGUUAGCCUAACCGUAAGGAGGCGAUUACCACGGUAGGAUUCAUGACUGGGGUGAAGUCGUAACAAGGUAG
RNAcentral lists this ribosomal RNA (1486 nucleotides) under uncultured Bordetella sp. Its description in RNAcentral is "partial 16S-23S ribosomal RNA intergenic spacer". It matches the Rfam family "Bacterial small subunit ribosomal RNA". Lineage: Bacteria; Pseudomonadati; Pseudomonadota; Betaproteobacteria; Burkholderiales; Alcaligenaceae. The record is from RNAcentral.